Long non-coding RNA from Gigantopelta aegis, 823 nucleotides. RefSeq lists it as uncharacterized. The transcript has 3 exons. NCBI's taxonomy places the organism in Eukaryota, Metazoa, Mollusca, Gastropoda, Neomphalida, Peltospiridae. The record is from RefSeq and is a predicted model, not a curated record.
GAAUGAAGCAUUUUAAUGUUGCAGAGUUCUGUUGUGUUCGACUUUGUGCAAAGCUGAAAUGACCUUACUACCCGAUGAGAAUGAUCAUCCCAUAUCCCUUGACAACUUAACUAAUGACUCUACAGGCUCAUUAUUGAUGCUGUGCACUGCACUGUGUGCCCUCCUCGAGAGGUUUCUGCUGAAACUUGUCUGUUUUGUUAUUUGACACCCCGCAACAGAUCGUGCUGGUAUGUUCAUGCAGAGACACAGGAGCCGGAAGUUUUGAACACCAAUGGGCAUUUUCGUUAGACCAAUCUGCACUGAUACAUUUGGACACUUUCGCUUUGGACUGUCCACCUCUGUGUACAAGUUGUACAUACCAGAGUGGUAUGUACAAAUGUUACAGCACACACGCUGCCGAGUGCACACACCCCUUCUUUUUUCCACCGGGAAGUCCCACAUCAGUUGACUAUGGCAUUCUGGUCGUUGUAUGUACUAUUCAUCAUUUGCUCCAGUUUGCCCAUGUGGAAGACCCUGUAUGUGUCGGCCUCUGAUCUGUUUAUUAAACCCAAAUAGAAGGCCAUAAAUACUAGCACUACCUCAAUUCUUAAUGUUUUCUGGUAUCUAGCAUUUUCAUUGAUGGAUUAUCUCCCUUGGACUGUUGGACUGUUUUUCACCAGUUCUACCAUGUCAAAUUGACAUUGUUUGCAAGCCAUAUUUUUCAAAUCUGACUCUUUGUGAUUGUGUUUGUAAUCACAUAAAUAGUGUAUUUAUCCAACAAAAAUGUGAUUUGCAUGCUACAAGGUAUAUAAUGUGUAACUUUCAUAUAAAAGGUAUAAUUUAA